CCGAUGUUCGCUAUAAUAAGGUGAUGAUUUGUCGAAGAGCUAUGGCCGUUGUUUGCCAAUCGGGCCACGGUACCGGCGUCAACAAUGUCGGAAACUGCUGAACGAAGCUGUCGAUUUCCAAAUGUUAGAAAAACAAACGAAACGAUCGGGCCAUAAGAAACGAGGCAAAAACUGUGAUAAGGUUCUUACUGCCGAAACCUUCUAAGGAUAGAACGGUUUAACGUUUCUUGUUCUUAAACAGUGCCCCUUAAUCUACUUGAAAUCUAUGGAAACAAAGUUUAUAUUUUUGGUUUGUUUCGAUUUUUUGGUUUUACAUAUAUAAGACAGGAAAAACUGUUAAAAAUUUGUUAUGUGUAGGUUAAACGUCAAUGUAUUAUUGACAGUGGAAGACAGGAGAUAUUUUCUUUGCUACUGCGAGGUAUGGGCUUGUUCAGUCUGUUUAUUGCGGCCACGCACGUCGUGUCGAAUAGGUUAUUGGCCGAGGCACAUGGAAGUUCCUCGUUGCGUCGCAGAAAUGAAUGGGAAUGAGGUUCGAAGUUCUCGAUAAAGAAAAGUAUAACACGUGGAAUUUUAAAUGCGUGCGGUUUUAACAAAGACGGAUGAAUGGAGCGGCAGCUCCUUGGUACGUGAGCGGCAGGAUUUCCAAGCGGGAAUUUAUGCAGGGUAGUGCAGCAUCGGUGCAAGGUGUGGCAAGAUAAAUCGAGAACGAUUUGAGAGCAUAUUUGAAUUUUGUGCUCAUUAUUAGUCCGUUGGAAAUUAAGCAGAUAAAGAGAUAUGAGACUGUAAGAGAGAUUUGAUUAAAAUUAAAGAACAUCCAUCAGUAAAAAGGGCCAAUGUGAAAGGUCGUGCUUUUGAAUCAUCUGGAGUUGUUGAAAAUGCAAAAUGGUUAUGGUGUGUGGCGAACGUUUUCGACGUUUCUUCGACGUGAUGGAUAAGUUAGCGCAACUGAAAAUCAAGAUCAAUCAAGAUACUAUUGGUGGCAUUGUCGUAUAUACAAGUCUGGAAAUUCCCACGGUGAUGGUAAGGCUUUUAAUGAUCGGACACUGUUGCUCGAUUAGUCCCCAGUAAACCGCUUUAGUCGAAAAGUUAGAAUUCAUUGUAUGACGUCAUCGUGUAAAAAUAGCCCCGACUCGGUUGUCUCUGUCUUUUUCUCUCUCUCCUUAAUGCGGUCGCGUAUUCGACUCACGGGCCGAGUAGGAAAAGAGAUGAAAGCAAAAAACAGUACCACAAUAAUAAUAAUAGAGACAAUAUUUCGUCUUAGAUAUAUGAUUAUUAUGAUUAUAUUAUUAUUAUUUUGUGCCUAACUAAUGUCUAAUAAAUAUCAUAUAAUAUAAA
Molecule: long non-coding RNA, 1335 nt
Organism: Bombus terrestris (buff-tailed bumblebee)
Lineage: Eukaryota; Metazoa; Arthropoda; Insecta; Hymenoptera; Apidae
Exons: 3
Source: RefSeq, a predicted model, not a curated record